This 377-nucleotide ribosomal RNA is filed under the name uncultured eukaryote. Its description in RNAcentral is "partial 18S ribosomal RNA". It matches the Rfam family "Eukaryotic small subunit ribosomal RNA", at positions 592 to 975 of the family's 1831-position model. The record is from RNAcentral.
CAAUAGCGUAUAUUAAAGUUGUUGCAGUUAAAAAGCUCGUAGUUGGAUUUGUGGUUCGUCCCGCCGGCUGGGUCAUUGACCUUUGCUGUGCUGGUCGUCCAUCCUUGGGUGGAAUCUGUGUGGCAUUAGGUUGUCGCGCAGGGGAUGCCCAUCGUUUACUGUGAAAAAAUUAGAGUGUUCAAAGCAGGCUUAUGCCAUUGAAUAUAUUAGCAUGGAAUAAUGAUAUAGGACCUUGGUACUAUUUUGUUGGUUUGCGCACUGAGGUAAUGAUUAAUAGGGACAGUUGGGGGUAUUCGUAUUCCAUUGUAAGAGGUGAAAUUCUUGGAUUUUUGGAAGACGAACUACUGCGAAAGCAUUUACCAAGGAUGUUUUCAUUA